CGCAGCCGCGGUAAUUCCAGCUCCAAUAGCGUAUAUUAAAGUUGUUGCAGUUAAAAAGCUCGUAGUUGAAUUUCGGGGUUAGUAGGUUGGUCGUGCCACCGGUAUGUACUGGCUCUACUGAUCCCUCCUUCUUGUAGAACCGUAAUGCCAUUAACUUGGUGUUGCGGGGAAACAGGACUGUUACUUUGAAAAAAUUAGAGUGUUUAAAGCAGGCUAACGCUUGAAUACAUUGGCAUGGAAUAAUGAAAUAGGACGCUCGAUCCUAUUUUGUUGGUUUCUAGGAUUGACGUAAUGAUUAAUAGGGAUAGUUGGGGGCAUUAGUAUUCAAUUGUCAGAGGUGAAAUUCUUGGAUUUAUUGAAGACUAACUACUGCGAAAGCAUUUGCCAAGGAUGUUUUCAUUAAUCAAGAACGAAAGUUAGGGGAUCGAAGACGAUCAGAUACCGUCGUAGUCUUAACCAUAAACUAUGCCGACUAGGGAUCGGAUGAUGUUAAUUUUUUAAUGACUCAUUCGGCGCCUUA
This 520-nucleotide ribosomal RNA is filed under the name uncultured Glomus. RNAcentral describes it as "SSU rRNA". It matches the Rfam family "Eukaryotic small subunit ribosomal RNA", at positions 569 to 1090 of the family's 1831-position model. Lineage: Eukaryota; Fungi; Glomeromycota; Glomeromycetes; Glomerales; Glomeraceae. The record is from RNAcentral.